This 466-nucleotide ribosomal RNA is filed under the name uncultured bacterium. RNAcentral's name for it is "bacterial SSU rRNA". It matches the Rfam family "Bacterial small subunit ribosomal RNA", at positions 337 to 794 of the family's 1533-position model. The record is from RNAcentral.
UCCUACGGGGGGCAGCAGUGGGGAAUUUUGCGCAAUGGGGGAAACCCUGACGCAGCAACGCCGCGUGAGUGAUGAAGGCCUUCGGGUCGUAAAGCUCUGUCUAGAGGAAAGAAAUGUUUGGCGGCUAAUAUCCGUUGAACUUGACGGUACCUCUGAAGGAAGCACCGGCUAACUCCGUGCCAGCAGCCGCGGUAAUACGGAGGGUGCGAGCGUUGUUCGGAAUUAUUGGGCGUAAAGCGCGUGUAGGCGGUUUCUUAAGUCUGAUGUGAAAGCCCCGGGCCCAACCUGGGAAGUGCAUUGGAUACUGGGAGACUUGAGUACGGGAGAGGGUAGUGGAAUUCCUAGUGUAGGAGUGAAAUCCGUAGAUAUUAGGAGGAACACCGGUGGCGAAGGCGGCUACCUGGACCGAUACUGACGCUGAGACGCGAAAGCGUGGGGAGCAAACAGGAUUAGAUACCCCGGUAGA